This 962-nucleotide ribosomal RNA is filed under the name uncultured bacterium. RNAcentral's name for it is "bacterial SSU rRNA". It matches the Rfam family "Bacterial small subunit ribosomal RNA", at positions 28 to 981 of the family's 1533-position model. The record is from RNAcentral.
AUUGAACGCUGGCGGCAGGCUUAACACAUGCAAGUCGAGCGGUAACAGAGAUAGCUUGCUAUCUGCUGACGAGCGGCGGACGGGUGAGUAAUGCUUGGGAAUAUGCCUUAUGGUGGGGGACAACAGUUGGAAACGACUGCUAAUACCGCAUAACGUCUACGGACCAAAGGAGGGGAUCUUCGGACCUUUCGCCAUUUGAUUAGCCCAAGUGAGAUUAGCUAGUAGGUGAGGUAAGAGCUCACCUAGGCGACGAUCUCUAGCUGGUUUGAGAGGAUGAUCAGCCACACUGGGACUGAGACACGGCCCAGACUCCUACGGGAGGCAGCAGUGGGGAAUAUUGCACAAUGGGGGAAACCCUGAUGCAGCCAUGCCGCGUGUGUGAAGAAGGCCUUCGGGUUGUAAAGCACUUUCAGUUGUGAGGAAAGGGAUGUAGUUAAUAACUGCAUUCUGUGACGUUAACAACAGAAGAAGCACCGGCUAACUUCGUGCCAGCAGCCGCGGUAAUACGAGGGGUGCAAGCGUUAAUCGGAAUUACUGGGCGUAAAGCGUUCGUAGGCGGUUAUUUAAGCAAGAUGUGAAAGCCCAGGGCUCAACCUUGGAACUGCAUUUUGAACUGGGUAACUAGAGUACUGUAGAGGGUGGUGGAAUUUCCAGUGUAGCGGUGAAAUGCGUAGAGAUUGGAAGGAACAUCAGUGGCGAAGGCGGCCACCUGGACAGAUACUGACGCUGAGGAACGAAAGCGUGGGGAGCGAACAGGAUUAGAUACCCUGGUAGUCCACGCCGUAAACGAUGUCAACUAGCCGUUCGUGGACUUGAUCCGUGAGUGGCGCAGCUAACGCACUAAGUUGACCGCCUGGGGAGUACGGCCGCAAGGUUAAAACUCAAAUGAAUUGACGGGGGCCCGCACAAGCGGUGGAGCAUGUGGUUUAAUUCGAUGCAACGCGAAGAACCUUACCAUCCCU